GAUGAACGCUUUCCCCUUUCUUAACACAUGCAAGUCGAACGGUGAGGCAGAGCUUGCUCUGUGGAUCAGUGGCGAACGGGUGAGUAACACGUGAGCAACCUGCCCCUGACUCUGGGAUAAGCGCUGGAAACGGCGUCUAAUACUGGAUAUGAGCUGCGACCGCAUGGUCAGCAGUUGGAAAGAUUUUUCGGUCUGGGAUGGGCUCACGGCCUAUCAGCUUGUUGGUGAGGUAAUGGCUCACCAAGGCGUCUCCGGGGUGCCGGCCUGAGAGGGUGACCGGCCACACUGGGACUGAGACACGGCCCAGACUCCUACGGGAGGCAGCAGUGGGGAAUAUUGCACAAUGGGCGAAAGCCUGAUGCAGCAACGCCGCGUGAGGGAUGACGGCCUUCGGGUUGUAAACCUCUUUUAGCAGGGAAGAAGCGAAAGUGACGGUACCUGCAGAAAAAGCGCCGGCUAACUACGUG
Molecule: ribosomal RNA, 467 nt
Filed under: uncultured bacterium
Lineage: Bacteria
Description: partial 16S ribosomal RNA
Rfam family: Bacterial small subunit ribosomal RNA
Source: RNAcentral